This 431-nucleotide ribosomal RNA is filed under the name uncultured archaeon. Its description in RNAcentral is "bacterial SSU rRNA". It matches the Rfam family "Archaeal small subunit ribosomal RNA", at positions 474 to 903 of the family's 1478-position model. The record is from RNAcentral.
UACCAGCUCUCCGAGUUGUAGGGAUGAUUAUUGGGCUUAAAGCGUCCGUAGCUGGCUUAGCAAGUCUCCUGUUAAACUCAGCGACCUAAUCGUUGAGCCGCGGGAGAUACUACUAGGCUAGGGAGGCGGGAGAGGUCGAUGGUACUUUCGGGGUAGGGGUGAAAUCCUAUAAUCCCGGGAGGACCACCAGUGGCGAAGGCUGUCGACUAGAACGCGCUCGACGGUGAGGGACGAAAGCUGGGGGAGCGAACCGGAUUAGAUACCCGGGUAGUCCCAGCUGUAAACUAUGCGGGCUAGGUGUUGGGGUGGCUACGGGCCACUUCAGUGCCGCAGGAAAGCCAUUAAGCCCGCCGCCUGGGGAGUACGGCCGCAAGGCUGAAACUUAAAGGGAAUUGGCGGGGGAGCACCACAAGGCGUGAAGCUUGCGGUUC